This is a non-coding RNA of Oncorhynchus gorbuscha (pink salmon), 77 nucleotides long. Lineage: Eukaryota; Metazoa; Chordata; Actinopteri; Salmoniformes; Salmonidae. The record is from the annotation of a RefSeq genome assembly.
GGGUCCAGUGUGGCUCAGUCGGUAGAGCAUGGCGCUUGCAACGCCAAGCGUCGUGGGUUCGAUUCCCGCUGGGGCCA